This 72-nucleotide transfer RNA is filed under the name Marmota monax (woodchuck). RNAcentral describes it as "tRNA.Ala". Lineage: Eukaryota; Metazoa; Chordata; Mammalia; Rodentia; Sciuridae. The record is from RNAcentral.
GGGGAUGUAGUUCAGUGGUAGCUUGCUUGUUUAGCAUAUACAAGGCCCUGGGUUCAAUCCCCAGUAUCUCUC